UACGUAGGGGGCUAGCGUUGUCCGGAAUCAUUGGGCGUAAAGCGCGUGUAGGCGGCCCGGUAAGUCCGCUGCGAAAGUCGGGGGCUCAACCCUCGGAAGCCGGUGGAUACUGUCGGGCUCGAGUACGGAAGAGGCGAAUGGAAUUCCCGGUGUAGCGGUGAAAUGCGCAGAUAUCGGGAAGAACACCCGUGGCGAAGGCGGUUCUCUGGGACGGUACUGACGCUGAGACGCGAAAGCGUGGGGAGCGAACAGG
Molecule: ribosomal RNA, 253 nt
Filed under: uncultured bacterium
Lineage: Bacteria
Description: partial 16S ribosomal RNA
Rfam family: Bacterial small subunit ribosomal RNA
Source: RNAcentral